CGGAGCAACGCCGCGUGAGCGAUGAAGGCCUUCGGGUCGUAAAGCUCUGUUGUUAGGGAAGAACAAGUAUCGUUCGAAUAGGGCGGUACCUUGACGGUACCUAACCAGAAAGCCACGGCUAACUACGUGCCAGCAGCCGCGGUAAUACGUAGGUGGCAAGCGUUGUCCGGAAUUAUUGGGCGUAAAGCGCGCGCAGGCGGUCCUUUAAGUCUGAUGUGAAAGCCCACGGCUCAACCGUGGAGGGUCAUUGGAAACUGGGGGACUUGAGUACAGAAGAGGAAAGUGGAAUUCCACGUGUAGCGGUGAAAUGCGUAGAGAUGUGGAGGAACACCAGUGGCGAAGGCGACUUUCUGGUCUGUAACUGACGCUGAGGCGCGAAAGCGUGGGGAGCAAACAGGAUUAGAUACCCUGGUAGUCCACGCCGUAAACGAUGAGUGCUAAGUGUUAGAGGGUUUCCGCCCUUUAGUGCUGCAGCUAACGCAUUAAGCACUCCGCCUGGGGAGUACGGUCGCAAGACUG
This 519-nucleotide ribosomal RNA is filed under the name uncultured Bacillota bacterium. RNAcentral describes it as "bacterial SSU rRNA". It matches the Rfam family "Bacterial small subunit ribosomal RNA", at positions 387 to 896 of the family's 1533-position model. Lineage: Bacteria; Bacillati; Bacillota. The record is from RNAcentral.